AGUGAACGCUGGCGGUAGGCCUAACACAUGCAGGUCGAACGGCAGCACAGUAAUAGCUUGCUCUUACGGGUGGCGAGUGGCGGACGGGUGAGGAAUACAUCGGACUCUACUUUUUCGUGGGGGAUAACGUAGGGAAACUUACGCUAAUACCGCAUACGACCUACUGGUGAAAGCAGGGGAUCUUCGGACCUUGCGCGAUUGAAUGAGCCGGUGUCGGAUUAUCUAGUUGGCGGGGUAAAGGCCCACCAAGGCGAUUAUCCGUAGCUGGUCUGAGAGGGUGACAGGCCACAGUGGGACUGAGAUACGGACCAGACUCCUACGGGUGGCAGCAGUGGGGAAGAUUGCAAAAUGGGUGGAAGCCUGAUGCAGCAACGCCGUGUGCGGGAUGACGGCCUUCGGGUUGUAAACCGCUUUCGCUCAUGACGAAGCUUUGUGUGACGGUAGUGGGUAAAGAAGCACCGGCUAACUACGUG
RNAcentral lists this ribosomal RNA (473 nucleotides) under uncultured bacterium. Its description in RNAcentral is "partial 16S ribosomal RNA". It matches the Rfam family "Bacterial small subunit ribosomal RNA", at positions 29 to 507 of the family's 1533-position model. The record is from RNAcentral.